GGUAAAAUUACUCCAGCACCACAUAAAGAUCUAAAAAAUGACAAGUCUGGUAAAAUUACUCCAGCACCACAUAAAGAUCUAAAAAAUGACAAGUCUGAUAAGACUACUUCAGCAGAGGUUAAAGGACCUACAGAUGACAAUUCCGGUAAA
Long non-coding RNA from Cotesia glomerata, 150 nucleotides. RefSeq lists it as uncharacterized. The record is from RefSeq and is a predicted model, not a curated record. Lineage: Eukaryota; Metazoa; Arthropoda; Insecta; Hymenoptera; Braconidae. The transcript is spliced from 3 exons.